Physeter macrocephalus (sperm whale) is the source of this 2534-nucleotide long non-coding RNA. RefSeq lists it as uncharacterized. The transcript has 3 exons. NCBI's taxonomy places the organism in Eukaryota, Metazoa, Chordata, Mammalia, Artiodactyla, Physeteridae. The record is from RefSeq and is a predicted model, not a curated record.
AAGGCUCUUUCAAGUAACCAGCCACGAUUUGUACCCUUGGAGCAUAGGUAACACCGAGAGUGCCCUUCUCUUCCCACCUUCCUGCCCACGUCUGCCUGAACAGCUGGCGGCUCUGAGAUGAAAUACCCUUGCACCCAGAAGGUCUAUGCAGCUCUCAGCACAAGGAUUCCAGCCAGUGAUGGUCGAGGACAGGGGCCACACGACCCUGAUUAAACCCCUCUGAGGAUCCCGGGCUGCCCACAAUCUUCGGGUAAGCACGACACCCUGAACCAUGAGAGCGCAUUGCUUUGCCCCUUACAUGUCUGAUGACAGGACCUCAGCAGAGGAGAGAUUUCUGAGCCAGGGCCCAGCCUGAGGGACCAGGACUGCCUCAUCUUUCCGUUUUCAUAAGUCUCCAAGGCCAGCCUCCUCAGCAAGGGAAGGAAGCAAGGCCCCUGCAGGCUCUCAUAUCCUUACCUCUCGCAAACCGACCAAAUCCCUUGUUCCAGCUGCAGUUUCAAAAUAGCCCAGGGAAUAGCUCUGAGUGACCUGGCUUGGGUGGUGUGACCACCUGGGACCAAUCAGCUGCUGCAGGGGUGGGGUGGGGACAGGCAAGAUGAUUGUGGCCUCUGCCAGGCCCAUGAGGCUGGAGUGAGGAAGCAGCAAUUCCCCAAAAAGAGCAUGUGUGUGUGUGGGGGUUCUGUUUCCAGAAGGGGGUCAGGGGGCAACAGGCAAAGCACAACAGGAAAAGCUUAGAGGAGGAGGUGGCAUUUGCAUGGGCUUCGAAGGGUGGGGAGCACUCCAAUGCACAGGAAGAGGACAGGAGAGCCACAGCAGGAGGAAUGGUGUAGACACAGGCCCUGCGGUAUAUCUGGGGCAGGGGGGAUCCUCGGGUGCAGCUGCACCGUGGGGUCUAUAGUCAGGGGGCCAGACACCAGAACCACGUCUCUGCUAGCUGGCUCGGUGCUCUUGGGAAAAGGUGCCCUCCUGGGCUAGCUCAGUCCCGGUGCAGGUGGCAUGGUGAAUGAGUGCAGAAUGGGUUCUGGCCAGAUGGUGUUGUGUACAGCGCGUGCAACCAUGGGCGGCAGCCCCAACCAGGAUGUCGGGACUGGACUGGGCAGACCCUGUCAGCCCGUGGAGGCCUCCUCUCUGGAGGAGAGCCUCUCUGUGUCCUGCAGAGCCUGACCAGGACCCAGCCCUCCUGCAGCAACAACAUGAAAAUGGGAGCAAGGAUGACAGCCCCCCCAGCUGAUGGGUGAGAAGCCCCAGCUGAUGGGCAGGCAGCUCUGUGCAGCCUCCUCGAAGCAGGCAGAGGGCAGAGCCCCAAGAAGCAAUUCAGCAGCCACGUGGGCCUGCGUGGACUCCCACUCUGUUCGGGGGCCUUAGGACUUCUGCCGCCCAGUGGAUAGGCCUCUGAUUCCUUCCCAGCCCACCAAGAGGCCAGAGGCAGCACCACCCGCCAAUUACAGGAGCCAAUUAAUUCGCACUUAACGGGGAUAUUUUCUUUUAGUGCGCAGAACCGAGGGGCAUAAAACCCUGAUUCCUCUUCUGUGGUUCAAUCCUGCUCUCCGUGUGCUCAUAGCAUUUAAUAACUCCUGCCGCAGACUGAGGGCCAAAUCUGCGCAGGGCGCAGGGAAGCCAAGAGGGCAAGUCCCCAUCAACAAUCUGGUGAGGAGGCCACUGCCGUCUGUGCUGUUCCCUUUCCCCUCUGCAGCUCCCAGAAGUUGCCAUAAAAACAGAUGUAAGUAAUCAAAGACUUCUCAGCGCCCGAACAGCUCUGCUCCUGAAGGCGUCCAUGGAGCCUGCUCCCUCUCUGCCGGGGUUUGUGGCUCCAAAAGACUCCUAAACCAGCCCUCAAAUCUCUCCCUAGGAAGGAAGACUCCUCCUUGCCUGCAGAUCUGCAAUCAUUUGUCGAGUAUUUUAUGGUCAAUAAUAAUAGUAAUAACGCCUCGGCUGUCCUGAUGUCUUUUCUAAUGAUGCUCAGAGCACAUGGUGUGGGACCCUUACAGCAUCAGAGUGGCUGAUGAGCAAGGGGUCUCAUCCCCACUUUGGGGAUGGAAAGAGGGCGGUACACUGACGGGGCCAGCCUCAGCGCCAUCUCCCCCAGAGUCUAAAUGCUCCAGGACAAAGGUGGGAGUUGUCCUCUUCCUUGGCAGGCCUGCUGCUGGCCUUUUCCCGCAUUCCUUGUGCAGUGUACCUUACCAAGUGCCCCGGAGCCUGUAGCUCAGCGAUGGGGGCGGAUGGAGCCAGAAUGCCGAGUGUGACGCUGAUUAAUCAUCCUGAUUUUAGGCAAUCUUACUGUUCCGAAGGCCUGGCCCAGCCCACACGUUUUACAGGUGGGACUCUCAGGGCUAACGCCAGGACGCCUGGCCAGCCCCUGGAGGACCCAAGCCUCAGGCUUCCCCGCCCACACUCCCUGCAUUUCACCACAUUAGUGCCAGCAUGAGCUGAGUGGUGAACAAAAAAGUGUGGAACAAAAAAGCCCAGACUGUACAUGUGUGGGGUUGGGUCUCCAGUCUCUAGUUGUUCCUGAAAGUUGCCCUUUCAGGGGAAUU